Stylophora pistillata is the source of this 467-nucleotide RNA transcript. It is a transcript of the gene named A disintegrin and metalloproteinase with thrombospondin motifs 18-like, with no coding region annotated. The record is from RefSeq and is a predicted model, not a curated record. NCBI's taxonomy places the organism in Eukaryota, Metazoa, Cnidaria, Anthozoa, Scleractinia, Pocilloporidae.
CGAGUUACAGAGACUCACAGUGUCGACAGAGAAAGGCUGGGCACAAGGGAAUGAUCUUCCAAUUAGAUCCUUGUGGUCUGUAUUGUGCAUCAGGACGAAGAUGGCACAAAGCUGGUAACCGUUGAUGAUGGAACGCGCUGUUCAAGAUAUGGUUUCGAUGUCUGUAUUCAAGGCCGUUGCAAGUCGGUCGGCUGCGACCAUGAGCUGGGGUCUGGUGCAAGGUUUGACAGAUGCAGAGUCUGUAACGGAAAUGGUACAUCAUGCACACAUGUGACUGAAUACUUUACAGAACAAUGGAAUAAACUCGGACCAAGAAACGCGCGUCUUCUUGUGGAACUACCAAUGGGAACUUUAAAUGCAAAGUUCAAAGAAAUUUAAAAGACAGCCGAUGCCAUUGGUGUUCAAAAUUCUGCUGGUCGGUACCUAUCAAAGGGAAAUGGUCGCUCACCUCGAAAAGGGAAAAUAUU